This is a non-coding RNA of Dermatophagoides farinae (American house dust mite), 389 nucleotides long. The record is from RefSeq and is a predicted model, not a curated record. NCBI's taxonomy places the organism in Eukaryota, Metazoa, Arthropoda, Arachnida, Sarcoptiformes, Pyroglyphidae.
UAAUAAUAAUAAUCAUCACAACAUCGACGUUAUUUUCUUAUGAAGAAUAAUAUACAUAUAGUUUUGGAAACAGGCAACGAAAUAAAAAAAAGGCUCUUUAACCAAUUUGUUUCAAUUUGAUUUCCGUAAAAAAAAAUCCAUAUGAAUGUCAUUGUCAUUUGGUUGUUGGUCGUUGGUCGUCGGAUAUCAUCAUCAUCAUCAUCAUCAUCAUUUAUAUUUCACCAAUAAACGAGAAUUCAACAACAACAACAACAACAACAUGAAAAAAAUGAAAGAAUCAAAAAGUGUGAGAAUCAAAAAAGAGAUAUAUUUCAUCUUUGCGUGACACGUAUUUUAUACGAAAUUUUUUUUUCUCUAAAAUGAUAAUAAAAAACGAUUAAUGCAAACUA